GAGUUUGAUCAUGGCUCAGAUUGAACGCUGGCGGCAUGCCUUACACAUGCAAGUCGAACGGCAGCACGGGAGCUUGCUCCUGGUGGCGAGUGGCGAACGGGUGAGUAAUGCAUCGGAACGUAUCCUGGAGUGGGGGAUAACGUAGCGAAAGUUACGCUAAUACCGCAUAUUCUGUGAGCAGGAAAGCGGGGGACCUUCGGGCCUCGCGCUCUUGGAGCGGCCGAUGUCGGAUUAGCUAGUUGGUGAGGUAAAGGCUCACCAAGGCGACGAUCCGUAGCAGGUCUGAGAGGAUGAUCUGCCACACUGGAACUGAGACACGGUCCAGACUCCUACGGGAGGCAGCAGUCGGGGAAUUUUGGACAAUGGGGGCAACCCUGAUCCAGCCAUGCCGCGUGAGUGAAGAAGGCC
RNAcentral lists this ribosomal RNA (408 nucleotides) under bacterium enrichment culture clone ALO1_GLFRUDD03HJEL6. RNAcentral's name for it is "bacterial SSU rRNA". It matches the Rfam family "Bacterial small subunit ribosomal RNA", at positions 9 to 416 of the family's 1533-position model. The record is from RNAcentral.